This 285-nucleotide long non-coding RNA is filed under the name Lathyrus oleraceus (garden pea). Its description in RNAcentral is "Pisum sativum (pea) long non-coding RNA (PSAT_LNC026513)". The record is from RNAcentral. Lineage: Eukaryota; Viridiplantae; Streptophyta; Magnoliopsida; Fabales; Fabaceae.
UUUAAAUGAUGAAUGUCAACGGUAAUCCAACAAUAAAAAUAAACAAAUAAUAAAUUGUUAAUAAAAAUAAACAAAUAAUAAAUUGUUAAAGGUAAAAGAAGUUAUACUUUAAGUGUUUAAGAGAAUGAAAUUAAUAUUUAGCAUCAUAUUGAGAGCUAAAUUUCAUGUUCAUAAUUAAAUUUACAUAUCUGAAAGUCAAAUAAAAAUUUGAUAACUUCAAAUUUUGACCUAAAAAAAUCAAAAAUUAAAAAACAUGAAUAAAGUUAAAAUAACAUAAUAUAUUAU